RNAcentral lists this ribosomal RNA (1071 nucleotides) under Rhizophagus intraradices. Its description in RNAcentral is "partial 39S ribosomal RNA". It matches the Rfam family "Bacterial large subunit ribosomal RNA", at positions 786 to 1851 of the family's 2925-position model. Lineage: Eukaryota; Fungi; Glomeromycota; Glomeromycetes; Glomerales; Glomeraceae. The record is from RNAcentral. RNAcentral also lists the same sequence under 1 other name.
CCGUUGCAAGGGACUCCGAAGAGCUGUGGCAAGGGGUGAAAAGCCAAUCUAACCUGGAGAUAGCUGGUCUUCUGCGAAACCCGUUUUAGCGGGUCGCCCAUUUAUUGAAAUUAAAUUCGUUACUAGACGGUACGGCACUGGAAGCCACGCAGCUUUUGCUGCAUAAUCGGGGGGCUGUCAUGGCUCUAUCGAUGGCUUCUAACCCCGGAAAUGUAUAGUAUACAAUGAUGGGCAAUCAGACGUAUCGUGAUAAGGCGAUUCGUCAAAAGGGCAACAGCCCAGAACAGGUGUGAAGGUCCCUAACAAGCUACUGAGUGAACACAAGGCAGUCCUCUCCAGUGUCUCUCCACAAAGUGGGCUUGGAAGCAGCCACCUUUUAGCGAUAGCGUAACAGCUCAGUGGUCUGAGCCUCCCUGUAAAAAGGGUAUAUUGCCUGGUGAGGGCGCCAAAAAUGUAACGGGUCUAUAGUAGUUGUCUCUCUGUUCCAGCUUUGGAUAUGGAGGGAGUGGCAGUUUCUUUACUGUCUCACCGAAACCCUGUCCUAGAUGUAAAAUUCUAGGGGUAGCAGAAUACCCAGCAAAUGGAAUGAAGCUUGCUCAUUGAGCCGGUGGACAUAGCUGGGCUAAGAAUGCUGACAUGAGUAGCCUAAAAGGAGGGUAAUUCCCUCUUCGCCGAAAGCAGAAGGGUUUCAUUUGUAAGGUCUAUACCUAGAUGAUUAAAGCAGCGGCCUCUAAGGUUCAGAGUAACAAAUUAGUUCCGAUGAGUAACUCUUCUAUAGGGCAGUAACCUUCCUUAUAAGUUUACCUUCAAGUAAUUAGAGGUAUACUUCAAAGAGUAAGGUUCGGGAAAGAGCCCUACAGAAUCAAUCUUAAAACCGUACCCUAAACCGACACAGGUCUGCAAGUAGAGCAUACUAAGGCGUAGAGAUAAUCGUCUUGAAGGAACUCGGCAAAAUGACCCCGUAACUUCGGGAGAAGGGGUGCCACUAAUAAGUGGCGGCACUAAACAGGGGGGCGCGACUGUUUACUUAAAACACCGGACUCUGCUAACACUAGCGUGGAUGUAUAGAGU